This 174-nucleotide long non-coding RNA is filed under the name Anser brachyrhynchus (Pink-footed goose). RNAcentral's name for it is "lncRNA (ENSABRG00000015169.1)". Lineage: Eukaryota; Metazoa; Chordata; Aves; Anseriformes; Anatidae. The record is from RNAcentral.
GGCAAGGUGUGCAAGCCCCGUGCAAGCCGUGCGAGCCCCGCAUGAGGUUGUGCAAGGCGUGCAAGCCCCGUGCAAGGUGUGCGAGCCCCAUGUGAGGUUGUGCAAGGCGUGCAAGCUGUGCAAGGCGUGCAAGGCGUGCAAGCCCCGUGCAAGCUGUGCAAGCCCCGUGUGAGG